GAGUUUGAUCCUGGCUCAGCGCGAACGUUGGCGGCGUGCUAACACAUGCAAGUCGUGGGGCAGCAGGCCUUCCCUUUUGGGAAGGUGCUGGCGACCGGCGAACGGGUGAGUAACGCGUAGCUAACCUACCCUAAGGAUGGGGAUAACCCCCCGAAAGGGCUAAUACCCAAUAAAGAGGCUUAUUGAAUGAUGAGCCUCCAAAGGCCGCAAGGCGCCUUAGGAUGGGGCUGCGUCCCAUCAGCUAGUUGGUGAGGUAAAAGCUCACCAAGCUACGACGGGUAGCUGGUCUGAGAGGAUGGCCAGCCACAGUGGGACUGAGACACGGCCCGCACCUACGGGGGGCAGCAGUGGGGAAUAUUGGGCAAUGGCCGAAAGGCUGACCCAGCAACGCCGCGUGGUGGAAGAAGCCCUUCGGGGUGUAAACACCUGUCAGUGGGGAAGAUAAUGACGGUACCCACAGAGGAAGGGACGGCUAACUACGUGCCAGCAGCCGCGGUAAUACGUAGGUCCCGAACGUUGCGCGAAUUUACUGGGCGUAAAGGGUCCGUAGGCGGUCUGGUAAGUGGAAGGUGAAAUCCUGGGGCUCAACUCCAGAAUUGCCUUCCAAACUGCUGGACUUGAGGCAGGGAGAGGUCGGCGGAAUUCCCGGUGUAGCGGUGAAAUGCGUAGAUAUCCCCAGGAACACCAGUGGCGAAGGCGGCCGACUGGGAACUGUCCUGACGCUGAGGGACGAAAGCCAGGGGAGCGAACCGGAUUAGAUACCCGGGUAGUCCUGGCCGUAAACGAUGGAUGCUAGAUGUGGGCAGGGAAACCUGUCCGUGUCGCAAGCUAACGCGUUAAGCAUCCCGCCUGGGGAGUACGACCGCAAGGUUGAAACUCAAAGGAAUUGACGGGGACCGCACAACCGGUGGAGCGUCUGGUUUAAUUCGAUGCUAACCGAAAAACCUCACCAGGCUUGACAUGCGGUGUGUCUGCCGAAGUCACUAGGUACCUUAUGGUACCCGGCACAGGUGGUGCAUGGUCGUCGUCAGCUCGUGUCGUGAUGUUGGGUUAUACCAGCCGGGUACUCACAGGGGACUGCCGGCGAUAAGCCGGAGGAAGGAGGACUGACGUCAGAUCAGUAUGCCCUUUAUGGGCUGGGCUACACAGGCGCUACAAUGGCAGGACACAGGGAAGCGAAGCCGCAAGGUGGAGCAACCCCAAAAACCCUGUCGUAGUGCGGAUUGGGGGUUGCAACUCACCCCCAUGAAGGCGGAAUCGGUAGUAAUGGCGAAUCAGCAAUGUCGCCGUGAAUACGUUCUCGGGUCUUGUACACACCGCCCGUCACGCCACGGGAGUUGGGUCCAUCGGAAGUCCCCGGGCCAACCCGCAAGGGAGGCAGGGGCCGAUGAUGGGCCUGGCGACUGGGGCGAAGUCGUAACAAGGUAGCCGUA
This 1433-nucleotide ribosomal RNA is filed under the name Hydrogenothermus marinus. RNAcentral's name for it is "16S ribosomal RNA". It matches the Rfam family "Bacterial small subunit ribosomal RNA". The record is from RNAcentral. Lineage: Bacteria; Pseudomonadati; Aquificota; Aquificia; Aquificales; Hydrogenothermaceae.